Molecule: ribosomal RNA, 337 nt
Filed under: uncultured bacterium
Lineage: Bacteria
Description: partial 16S ribosomal RNA
Rfam family: Bacterial small subunit ribosomal RNA
Source: RNAcentral
CCUACGGGAGGCAGCAGUGGGGAAUAUUGGGCAAUGGACGCAAGUCUGACCCAGCAACGCCGCGUGAAGGAAGAAGGCUUUCGGGUUGUAAACUUCUUUUAAGGGGGAAGAGCAGAAGACGGUACCCCUUGAAUAAGCCACGGCUAACUACGUGCCAGCAGCCGCGGUCAUACGUAGGUGGCAAGCGUUGUCCGGAUUUACUGGGGGUAAAGGGCGUGCAGCCGGAGAGACAAGUCAGAUGUGAAAGCCACGGGCUCAAACCGUGAACUGCAUUUGAAACUGGUUCCCUUGUGUGUCGGAGGGGUAAUCGGAAUUCCUUGUGUAGGGGUGGAAUGCG